GGAUUUCUGCGUGGUUCGUGGACCGCACUAACCCUGGGGCCAAUGCUCUCCUCUAGGGAGCUGUCCCUGGCCUAGAUCCUGGUCCUGGCCACACGGCGCCCACCUGCGCAAGCAGGCCACAGAGGUUGCGCCAGGUCCACGGCCGACGUGGUGCCGCC
This 158-nucleotide non-coding RNA is filed under the name Rhodospirillales bacterium. RNAcentral's name for it is "6S RNA". It matches the Rfam family "6S / SsrS RNA". From Rfam's summary of the family: E. coli 6S RNA was the first non coding RNA to be sequenced, but its function was unknown until recently. It consists of 184 nucleotides that fold into an extended hairpin structure with a large single-stranded internal bulge. Lineage: Bacteria; Pseudomonadati; Pseudomonadota; Alphaproteobacteria; Rhodospirillales. The record is from RNAcentral.